RNAcentral lists this ribosomal RNA (492 nucleotides) under uncultured bacterium. RNAcentral's name for it is "partial 16S ribosomal RNA". It matches the Rfam family "Bacterial small subunit ribosomal RNA", at positions 28 to 507 of the family's 1533-position model. The record is from RNAcentral.
GAUGAACGCUAGCUACAGGCUUAACACAUGCAAGUCGAGGGGAAACGACAUCGAAAGCUUGCUUUUGAUGGGCGUCGACCGGCGCACGGGUGAGUAACGCGUAUCCAACCUGCCCAUCACUUGGGAAUAACCUUGCGAAAGUAAGACUAAUACCCAAUGAUAUCCCACGAAGGCAUCGGAAUGGGAUUAAAGAUUUAUCGGUGAUGGAUGGGGAUGCGUCUGAUUAGCUUGUUGGCGGGGUAACGGCCCACCAAGGCAACGAUCAGUAGGGGUUCUGAGAGGAAGGUCCCCCACAUUGGAACUGAGACACGGUCCAAACUCCUACGGGAGGCAGCAGUGAGGAAUAUUGGUCAAUGGGCGAGAGCCUGAACCAGCCAAGUAGCGUGCAGGAAGACGGCCCUAUGGGUUGUAAACUGCUUUUAUAAGGGAAUAAAGUGGGUUACGUGUGACUUUUUGCAUGUACCUUAUGAAUAAGGACCGGCUAAUUCCGUG